CAAUAGCGUAUAUUAAAGUUGUUGCGGUUAAAAAGCUCGUAGUUGGAUUUCUGCUGAGGACGAUCGGUCCGCCCUCUGGGUGAGUAUCUGGCUCGGCCUUGGCAUCUUCUUGGAGAACGUUACUGCACUUGACUGUGUGGUGCGGUAUCCAGGACUUUUACUUUGAGGAAAUUAGAGUGUUUCAAGCAGGCGCACGCCUUGAAUACAUUAGCAUGGAAUAAUAAGAUAGGACCUUGGUUCUAUUUUGUUGGUUUCUAGAGCUGAGGUAAUGAUUAAUAGGGAUAGUUGGGGGCAUUCGUAUUUAACUGUCAGAGGUGAAAUUCUUGGAUUUGUUAAAGACGAACUACUGCGAAAGCAUUUGCCAAGGAUGUUUUCAUUGA
Molecule: ribosomal RNA, 380 nt
Filed under: uncultured eukaryote
Lineage: Eukaryota
Description: partial 18S ribosomal RNA
Rfam family: Eukaryotic small subunit ribosomal RNA
Source: RNAcentral